UACGGGGGGGGCAAGCGUUGUUCGGAAUUACUGGGCGUAAAGGGCGCGUAGGUUGCCAACUAAGUCAGACGUGAAAUCCCUCGGCUUAACCGGGGAACUGCGUCUGAUACUGGAUGGCUUGAGUUCGGGAGAGGGAUGCGGAAUUCCAGGUGUAGCGGUGAAAUGCGUAGAUAUCUGGAGGAACACCGGUGGCGAAGGCGGCAUCCUGGACCGACACUGACACUGAGGAGCGAAAGCCAGGGGAGCAAACGGG
Molecule: ribosomal RNA, 253 nt
Filed under: uncultured bacterium
Lineage: Bacteria
Description: partial 16S ribosomal RNA
Rfam family: Bacterial small subunit ribosomal RNA
Source: RNAcentral